UUUAACGAGAGUUUGAUCCUGGCUCAGGAUGAACGCUGGCGGCGUGCUUAACACAUGCAAGUCGAACGAAGCACUUUACCGGAUUUCUUCGGGAUGAAAGUUUUGUGACUGAGUGGCGGACGGGUGAGUAACGCGUGGGUAACCUGCCUCANNNNNNNNNNGCCUCAUACAGGGGGAUAACAGUUAGAAAUGACUGCUAAUACCGCAUAAGACCACAGGACCGCAUGGUCCAGUGGUAAAAACUCCGGUGGUAUGAGAUGGACCCGCGUCUGAUUAGCUAGUUGGUAAGGUAACGGCUUACCAAGGCGACGAUCAGUAGCCGACCUGAGAGGGUGACCGGCCACAUUGGGACUGAGACACGGCCC
Molecule: ribosomal RNA, 365 nt
Filed under: Lachnospiraceae bacterium AM23-2LB
Lineage: Bacteria; Bacillati; Bacillota; Clostridia; Lachnospirales; Lachnospiraceae
Description: partial 16S ribosomal RNA
Rfam family: Bacterial small subunit ribosomal RNA
Source: RNAcentral